UUAUGUACACUGCAACCUGGCCAAAAGAAGUAAGAAAAAUAGCAAGUGAUCUUCUUGUUAAUCCUGUUCAGGUGAACAUUGGCAGUGUUGAUGAACUUGCUGCAAACAAGUCCAUCACACAGUAUGUUGAAGUGGUCCCACAAAUGGAGAAGGAGAGACGCUUGGAGCAGAUCCUUAGGGCACAAGAGAGAGGUUCAAAGGUUAUUAUUUUCUGUUCCACUAAGAGAUUAUGUGACCAGCUUGCACGUAGUAUUGGGCGCAACUUUGGGGCUGCAGUGAUUCAUGGAGACAAGUCACAAGGGGAAAGAGAUUGGGUUUUAAAUCAGUUCAGGAAUGGAAAGUCACCAAUUUUAGUUGCUACUGAUGUUGCUGCCCGAGGUCUUGAUAUCAAAGAUAUAAGGGUAGUGAUAAACUAUGAUUUUCCUACUGGAAUUGAGGAUUAUGUCCACCGAAUUGGUAGAACUGGAAGGGCUGGUGCAACUGGUGUGUCUUACACCUUUUUCUCUGAGCAGGAUUGGAAAUAUGCAGCCGAUUUGGUUAAAGUUCUGGAGGGAGCUAACCAGCAUGUUCCCCCAGAGGUGCGAGAGAUGGCUUUGCGUGGUGGGCCUAGUGUUGGCAAGGAUCGAGGUGGGAUGAACCGUUUUGAUUCAAAUAGUGGUAAUGGUGCUGGUAGGCGUUGGGAUUCUGGGGGCCGUGGUGGGAUGAGGGAUGGUGGCUUUGGUGGCCGUGGUGGAAUGAGGGAUGGUGGUUUUGGUGGUCGUGGUGGAAUGAGGGAUGGCAACUUUGGUGGACGUGGUGGGAUGAGGGAUGGAGGCUUUGGUUUCCGUGGGGGUGUUAGGGAUGGCCCUUUUGGUGGAUAUGGUGGGAGAAAUGACUCGUUUUCUGGGCGUGGAAAUAGAGGACGUGGAUACAGUGGUCAUGCUGGUUGGGGUAGGAAUGAACGUGGCCUACAUGAUCGCCACAACAAUAUGGAUGGUCGAGGACGUGGUCGUGGACGGGGAAGAUUUGAUGGUAGAAGAGAGAUUGUUGAUAGGGUUAGGGAUAGAAGUUAUAGUCGUAGCCCUGAGAGGGUUCGAACGUGGGGUUAUAGCCGCAGUCGAAGUAGAAGUAAGAGCUGGAGCCGGAGCCGGAGCCGGAGCUGCAGUAGGAGUCGGAGUUGGUCCCGAGACCGUAGUCGCAGUUACAGCCGCAGUCCUCGACAUAGCCGCAGCUACAGCCGUAGCCCUCGACGUACUCGCAGCUGUAGCCGCAGUCGCAGUCAAAGCUAUGACAGAUUGGAGAGGCCACAUGAAAGCAAUUUUGACAAGAA
This 1309-nucleotide unclassified non-coding RNA is filed under the name Hevea brasiliensis (rubber tree). Lineage: Eukaryota; Viridiplantae; Streptophyta; Magnoliopsida; Malpighiales; Euphorbiaceae. The record is from RNAcentral.